UAGGGAAUCUUCCGCAAUGGACGAAAGUCUGACGGAGCAACGCCGCGUGAGUGAAGAAGGAUUUCGGUUCGUAAAACUCUGUUGUUAGGGAAGAAAAAAUGUAUAGUAACUAUAUACAAAAGAGACGGUACCUAACCAGAAAGCCACGGCUAACUACGUGCCAGCAGCCGCGGUAAUACGUAGGUGGCAAGCGUUGUCCGGAAUUAUUGGGCGUAAAGCGCGCGCAGGUGGUUUAGAAAGUCUGAUGUGAAAGCCCACGGCUCAACCGUGGAGGGUCAUUGGAAACUAAUACACUUUAGUGCAGGAGAGAAAAGUGGAAUUCCUAGUGUAGCGGUGAAAUGCGUAGAGAUUAGGAGGAACACCUGUGGCGAAAGCGGCUUUUUGGCCUGCAACUGACACUGAGGCGCGAAAGCGUGGGGAGCAAACAGG
This 429-nucleotide ribosomal RNA is filed under the name Verrucomicrobiota bacterium. RNAcentral describes it as "Verrucomicrobia bacterium partial 16S ribosomal RNA". It matches the Rfam family "Bacterial small subunit ribosomal RNA", at positions 355 to 776 of the family's 1533-position model. Lineage: Bacteria; Pseudomonadati; Verrucomicrobiota. The record is from RNAcentral.